AGAGUUUGAUCAUGGCUCAGGACGAACGCUGGCGGCGUGCCUAAUACAUGCAAGUCGAGCGAGCUUGCCUAGAUGAUUUUAGUGCUUGCACUAAAUGAAACUAGAUACAAGCGGGCGGCGGACGGGUGAGUAACACGUGGGUAACCUACCCAAGAGACUGGGAUAACACCUGGAAACAGAUGCUAAUACCGGAUAACAACACUAGACGCAUGUCUAGAGUUUGAAAGAUGGUUCUGCUAUCACUCUUGGAUGGACCUGCGGUGCAUUAGCUAGUUGGUAAGGUAACGGCUUACCAAGGCAAUGAUGCAUAGCCGAGUUGAGAGACUGAUCGGCCACAUUGGGACUGAGACACGGCCCAAACUCCUACGGGAGGCAGCAGUAGGGAAUCUUCCACAAUGGACGAAAGUCUGAUGGAGCAACGCCGCGUGAGUGAAGAAGGGUUUCGGCUCGUAAAGCUCUGUUGGUAGUGAAGAAAGAUAGAGGUAGUAACUGGCCUUUAUUUGACGGUAAUUACUUAGAAAGUCACGGCUAACUACGUGCCAGCAGCCGCGGUAAUACGUAGGUGGCAAGCGUUGUCCGGAUUUAUUGGGCGUAAGGCGAGUGCAGGCGGUUCAAUAAGUCUGAUGUGAAAGCCUUCGGCUCAACCGGAGAAUUGCAUCAGAAACUGUUGAACUUGAGUGCAGAAGAGGAGAGUGGAACUCCAUGUGUAGCGGUGGAAUGCGUAGAUAUAUGGAAGAACACCAGUGGCGAAGGUGGCUCUCUGGUCUGCAACUGACGCUGAGGCUCGAAAGCAUGGGUAGCGAACAGGAUUAGAUACCCUGGUAGUCCAUGCCGUAAACGAUGAGUGCUAAGUGUUGGGAGGUUUCCGCCUCUCAGUGCUGCAGCU
RNAcentral lists this ribosomal RNA (886 nucleotides) under uncultured bacterium. Its description in RNAcentral is "bacterial SSU rRNA". It matches the Rfam family "Bacterial small subunit ribosomal RNA", at positions 8 to 853 of the family's 1533-position model. The record is from RNAcentral.